Molecule: ribosomal RNA, 322 nt
Filed under: uncultured eukaryote
Lineage: Eukaryota
Description: partial 18S ribosomal RNA
Rfam family: Eukaryotic small subunit ribosomal RNA
Source: RNAcentral
CCCUUAGAUGUUCUGGGCCGCACGCGCGCUACACUGAAGCGUUCAACGAGUAUUUCACCUUGCCCGGGAGGGUUGGGUAAUCUUUUUAAAACGCUUCGUGAUGGGGAUAGAUUAUUGCAAUUAUUAAUCUUCAACGAGGAAUUCCUAGUAAGCGCGAGUCAUCAGCUCGUGCUGAUUACGUCCCUGCCCUUUGUACACACCGCCCGUCGCUCCUACCGAUUGAAUGGUCCGGUGAAAUCUCGGGACGGCGGCUUGGUCGCUUGCGUCCGACUGCUGAAACUUGAUUAAACCAUAUCAUUUAGAGGAAGGUGAAGUCGUAACA